GAUGUCGGCUCAUCUCAUCCUGGGGCUGUAGUCGGUCCCAAGGGUAUGGCUGUUCGCCAUUUAAAGAGGUACGUGAGCUGGGUUCAAAACGUCGUGAGACAGUUUGGUCCCUAUCUUCCGUGGGCGCUGCAGAUUUGAGAAAGCCUGCUCCUAGUACGAGAGGACCGGAGUGGACGCACCCCUGGUGUACCUGUUGUCACGCCCGUGGCAUCGCAGGGUAGCUAAGUGCGGAAGAGAUAACCGCUGAAAGCAUCUAAGCGGGAAACUCGUUUCAAGAUGAGAUCUGCCGGGGCCUUGAGCCCCCUCAAGAGUCGUUCUAGACCAGGACGUUGAUAGGCUGGGUGUGCAAGGGCAGCAAUGCUCUGAGCUAACCAGUACUAAUUGCUCGUGCGGCUUGACCCU
Molecule: ribosomal RNA, 402 nt
Filed under: Pseudomonadota bacterium
Lineage: Bacteria; Pseudomonadati; Pseudomonadota
Description: Proteobacteria bacterium (activated sludge metagenome) partial 23S ribosomal RNA
Rfam family: Bacterial large subunit ribosomal RNA
Source: RNAcentral